AAACCAGCACCUCAAGUGGUCAGGAGGAUUAUUGGGCCUAAAGCAUCCGUAGCCUGUUCUAUAAGUUUUCGGUUAAAUCCACUAGCUCAACUAGUGGGCUGCCGAAAAUACUGUAGAACUAGGGAGUGGGAGAGGUAGACGGUAUUCGGUAGGAAGGGGUAAAAUCCUUUGAUCUAUUGAGGACCACCUGUGGCGAAGGCGGUCUACCAGAACACGUUCGACGGUGAGGGAUGAAAGCUGGGGGAGCAAACCGGAUUAGAAACCCGAGUAGUCC
Molecule: ribosomal RNA, 274 nt
Filed under: uncultured bacterium
Lineage: Bacteria
Description: partial 16S ribosomal RNA
Rfam family: Archaeal small subunit ribosomal RNA
Source: RNAcentral